This 3461-nucleotide ribosomal RNA is filed under the name Ambystoma mexicanum (axolotl). RNAcentral's name for it is "eukaryotic LSU rRNA". It matches the Rfam family "Eukaryotic large subunit ribosomal RNA", at positions 444 to 3385 of the family's 3401-position model. The record is from RNAcentral. Lineage: Eukaryota; Metazoa; Chordata; Amphibia; Caudata; Ambystomatidae.
CUCUGAUCUUUCCUCAGGAUGGGAUUUGUGUAGUGUUUUUCUAUUUUUUAUUUUGCUGUGUUUUAUUAAAGUAUAUCUAUUUUUGUAGAACUUCAAAUGUUCAUUCCCUUUAUUCUGGCCUGCUGUGCUUUGCUGUUUGUGUUGCUACUGAAUCACAUUCACACCUCUCUUAAGGGCGUAGACUUCUCUUGGCCACUGUUACCAAAGAAAGCGAAGGAGGUAUAUCUCUUAACUGUGCCUGAUUUUACUUAAUGAUUGUGGUCGCUCUUGCAUUGUAGAAGUAUGAGUGCUGAGUGGGCAUUUUUGUCUCUAUUCAUCCUAGAACUCUUGUAGAGCAGUCAAACUCUUCACAGUGGGUUCCGUGAAGUUCAGAGGUCUUAACACAGUGUGUACACCCAGCCCCUGCAGGACACAUUCACUCUGUGACUGUGAACUGUUACCAGCUCCUCUGUCUGCUAGGAAGGCCCUUGCCCUCGUGGGAAGGUGGCCAUCUGUUUCUGUCUAAGAGUGUUACAGUCCCCUGUCAGCAGUUUUGACGUGUCCACAAGGCCAAUGAAGAUUGGCCACCACCACACCCUUCUCCAACAACUGUCUUGGUCCCUCUCUGGGGCUCCCUGUGCGACUGUACACUGGGGUAGACUGUUCUCAGUGCACACAGACUGCGUUGGGCCACCUAGUACGAAAGGCCACAAAGGGUGCCAGGUGUCUGCAGUGAUGUCGGUUAUCCACCUCACCCAUCUUGAAAUAUGCACCAAGGAGUCUAACACAUGCACGAGUCAGAGGAGUAAACUAAACCAUGUGGCUAAAUGAAGGUGAGGGAGGACGCAUGGUGGCUGAGAAGGCAUCCUGAUAGGACCCAAAAGAUGGUGAACUAUGCCUGAGCAGGGCAAAGAAAGAGGAAACUCUGGUGUAGGUCCUUAGCAGUAAUGAUGUGCAAAUCGGUCCUCCGAUCUGUGUAUAUGGACAAAAGACUAAUAGAGUAUAGUUUCCUCUGGAAAGCUGGCCUUUGAAAACUACAGUUUUAUCUGGUAAAGCAAAUGAUCAAAGGUCUUGGGGCCAAAACUAUCUGAACCUACUCUUAAACUUUAAUUGGCUCAGUGGUCUGGAGCCUGGCAUUGAAUGUGAGUGUCAAGUGGGGCACAUUUGGUAAGCAUAACUGGCACUACAGGAUAAACCAAAUGGCAGGUUAAGGCACCCGAUGCUGAUACUCUUGAGACCCCAGAAAAGGUAUUGUUUUAUAUAGACAGCAGGAUGGUGUCAAUGUAGGUAUCCAUUAAGGAGGGUGUAACAACUCACCUGCCGAAUUAACCAGCCCUGAAAAUGGAUGGCGCUGGAGCAUCGGGCUUAUACCCGGCCAACACUGGCAGUGAUAACGGCAGUGGCUAAGCCACGAUGAGUAGGAGGACUGCUGCAGUGCACAUGGAUGCCAGGGCAAGGGGUGGAGUCACGCAAGUGCAGAUCUGAGUGGUAGCAACAUGGCAAAGUGGAAAAGGUUUCCACUUGAACAGCAGUUGAACAGUCUGGCUUAAGAGAUGGGCAAGUGCCGUUCGGAGGGACAGGGAGUGUCCUCCUUUGCAGUCAUAUGAUUGAAAGGGAGUUGAUUCAGAUCCCCAAACCUAGAGUCACGCAGAUGAGCGCUCUUGCAGUGUCCACUGCGGUAAUGCAUACAUUCUAGAGAAGCCUGCGGGGGUUCCCGGCGGAGCUUGCUUUUCUUUGUAAAUGGCAAGAUACCUUGGAAUGGGUUUACCCCAAGAGAGGUGCCAAAGCCAUGGAAAGCAAUGUGAUUCUGGUGGUGUUCGCUAACCUCUUGCUGGUCCUUGAAGAUCUGGGGGGAUGCUGGGCUAUACCCAUAUCCGCAGCAGUUCUCCAAGGUGGCUUGUUGGAAUAAUGUAGGUAGGUAAAUAAAGUUGGCAAGUCAGAUCAGUAACUAAGGGUAAUUAUUGGUAGUUCUAAGGGCUUCAUUGGGUGGGAUGCGGUGCGAAGCAGGGCUGGGAAUGCAAUGCAUGUGGAUGAGGUGUCUCCUACCUGUGCUUUUAAACACAUUGUGUAUAGGCACUAAAUAAAUAAACUAUCAUAUCAUAUCAUACCUGGGGCGGUACCAACUCUGGGCACGAGCCAGGCCCUUCUUGUGGUUCACCCCUGCUGCCAUGGUUGUCUCUCUCUGUUCUCCACCUGGGAUUCUGGGCCAGCAUUCCUCCACGGCUGAUGCCUGGCAGCAGACCUAAAACUGGUGCAGACUAGUUAAAUCCAACUGUUUGAUUAAAACAGAGCAUUGACAAAGUCUGCAGCAGGGUUUGACACUAUGUCGUCUAUUCCCAGUGCUCUGAAUGUCAAUGUGAAGAAAUUCACUGAAGUGUGGGUAAAUGGUGGGAGUAACUAUGACUCUUUUAAGGUAGUCAAAUGCAUCUUCAUCUAAUUAGUGACCUGCAUGAAUGGAUGAACGAAAGUCCCACUGUUCCUACCUCCUAUCUAGCGAAACCAUGGGCAAGAGAACAAGCUUUGAAGGAUCAGCUAGAAAAGGAGACCCUCCUGAGUUUGACGCUAGUCUGGCACUAUGAACAUACAUGAGAGGUGUAGGAUCAGUGGGAGACCCUCGGCCCACCAGUGAAAUACCACUACUCCCAUCAUUCUUUCACGCACCCAUUGAGACAGGGGGGCGAGGGCCCUCGCUUCUGGCACCAAGCUCUCUGCACCUGAUGGGCUCAGCCCACUCAGGGGACAGUGGCAGGUGGGGAGUUUGGCUGGUGCAAUACACUUGUGAAACGAAAUUGUAAGUGUCCUAAGGCGAACUCAGGGAGGUCAGAAACCUCCCAUGGAGCAGAAGGGCAAAUGCUCGCGUGAUUUCAAUUUUCAGUAUGAAAAAACACCAUGAAGCGUGGCCUCACGAUACUUCUGACUUUUGGGUUUCGAGCAAGAGGUGUCAGAAAAGUUACUACUGGGAUAACUGGAUUGUGGUAGCCAAACGGUCAGAGAGAUGUCACCUUUUGCUCCUUCAAUGUCAGCUCUGCCUAUCAUUAUGAAGCAGAAUUCACCAAGUGUUGGAUUGUGCGCCCAGUAAUUUGGAAUGUGAGUUGGGUUUAGACCGUCGUGAGACAGAUUUGCUUUACCCUACUGAUGAUGUGUUGUUGCAAUAGCAAUCCUGCUCACUAUUACAGGAAUUGCAGAAUCAGGUAUUUGGUGUUCGUGCUUGGCUUUAAGUCAGAAUCCUCUCUAAACGUAAUGAUAACGGAGCUUUGUGGUGCCUGGAUUGGACCAUGAAAGUUGGCCUUGUGGUCGGGGAAUAGAGCAGCUCACUUCUGAACUUGAGCGUAAACAGAACGGGGCCACCUCUCUCAUCGUAGUGCAGCACAUGUUCAUGGGGAACCUGGUUCUAAAUCAUUCAUAGGAGACUUGAUUGUGGAUCAGGGUUUUUUUAAGUAGCAUAACAGCCAGUUUGCUGUUAUCGAUUCAAAGUCAUCUCC